AGUGAACGCUGGCGGUAGGCCUAACACAUGCAAGUCGAACGGCAGCACAGUAAGAGCUUGCUCUUACGGGUGGCGAGUGGCGGACGGGUGAGGAGUACAUCGGAAUCUACUUUUUCGUGGGGGAUAACGUAGGGAAACUUACGCUAAUACCGCAUACGACCUACGGGUGAAAGCAGGGGAUCUUCGGACCUUGCGCGAUUGAAUGAGCCGAUGUCGGAUUAGCUAGUUGGCGGGGUAAAGGCCCACCAAGGCGACGAUCCGUAGCUGGUCUGAGAGGAUGAUCAGCCACACUGGAACUGAGACACGGUCCAGACGCCUACGGGAGGCAGCAGUGGGGAAUAUUGGACAAUGGGCGCAAGCCUGAUCCAGCCAUACCGCGUGGGUGAAGAAGGCCUUCGGGUUGUAAAGCCCUUUUGUUGGGAAAGAAAAGCAGCAGGUUAAUACCCCGCUGUUCUGACGGUACCCAAAGAAUAAGCACCGGCUAACUUCGU
RNAcentral lists this ribosomal RNA (491 nucleotides) under uncultured bacterium. Its description in RNAcentral is "partial 16S ribosomal RNA". It matches the Rfam family "Bacterial small subunit ribosomal RNA", at positions 29 to 506 of the family's 1533-position model. The record is from RNAcentral.